Molecule: ribosomal RNA, 3157 nt
Filed under: Triticum aestivum (bread wheat)
Lineage: Eukaryota; Viridiplantae; Streptophyta; Magnoliopsida; Poales; Poaceae
Description: partial small subunit ribosomal RNA
Source: RNAcentral
GAGCUUCGUCCGGUACAAAGAAGGGAAGGUAAUAGUAGUUAGAGAGGCACCGCGUUGCAUUUAAGCAUGCAUGUAUGGGCAGGAGCAGGCACGAAAGGGCCAGCAGAGGCCCGUGACGACAGGCCACAUGCGGGCUAACGUAGUGGCGAGGGGUAGGUAGGUAGGCAGAGGUUUUUAGGUUUGAAAGUGGCCGCUCUCCUCUCGCUCUCCUUAUUUUUCCUGCCCGUAACGAAGCGAGUCAGGUGGAGCGAGCGAGCGAGGAGUCUAGAUUAGUAAUAAAUUAGGAAAAGUGGAGGUCGCGGGGCAGUGUACUCGCGAGGGGGGAGGAGGAGGGGGAGGGGGCGAGGCUAGGGGGUCGGGCGGCGUUGGGAUCGGGGGCGGCCGUACGCGCCGCGCCGCCGCCUCCUGAGGAGGCCGAGCGGCGGCAGCGCCUACAGCCUCCUGCUGCUGCUGCCGCUGCCCCGCCCUCCCCCGCUGUCCACCCGCGGCCUAGACUCCCCGACGCCGUUGCCGCCGCCGCCCCCGCCCUCCACCCGCGGCGGCCUGGUCCACGACCUCUUGCACGACCUCUCGCACGAGCUCAAGGAGUGCCGCCGCGCGCUGGCGUUGCGGCGGAGCGAGCAGACGGCGAGGACCAUGGCGCGGCUCCGCGUCUGGGCUGCGCUCGAGAAGUAGCCGUUGACGAUGCGGCAGAGCGGCGCGGCGCGGCAGCUCGCGAAGCCCCCGCACGCGCGGCAGCACGAGUUCCCCUUCGGGGCGAAGCGCCUGAAGUCGGAGCACGGCGUGCCGACCCCGCGGUUGCAGAGGGGGACCCAGCGGCGCGAGCCGGGGCGGAUGGGCGCGGAGCUCGCGUAGACGGAGUUCGCCUACUGGCAGAGGCUGCUGCUCGAGCGCGAGUAGGGGUUCAGGAAGGGCGAGAAGUUCCUCGAGAGCGAGCAGACGACGCUGCCGAAGUGGUGGGCGCCGGAGCGGCAGUAGCGGCUCCCGACGGCCGUAGAAGCUCAGGACCUAGACUGACUUCUAAUAAAGGUACUCCUCCUCUCGCUCCACCACCUAACCUAGAGGUUCAAAGGUCUCACGUCGUGCAGCGACCUUAGAGAACAGAAACUAACACAAUCACAGGGUAAGUUGAAACUCCGGGACCUCCGUGAGCAACGUGCGAGUGGUCGAGAGGCAGCAGACGCGCACUUACUGGUACAGAGCUAUCUCGUCGACGCAGCAGAGUACCGUUCCCGUGGGGUAGACUGAGUGGAACCGUGACCUAGUAAGGCUAGACUCGGUCCGGGACCACCACGCAACAGACACAGACUCGAGCGAUGGAGAAAACGCCGCAGGUCUAGUGAACAAACAAACAGUCCAAAGAACCUACGGUUACGUCGUAUGGAGGGUCGUUAGAUGGUUCAAACACGGUUGGAGUGAAGGGAGUUAAAAUCGAAACGCCCAGAUUGACUACUUCUCAAGUAUGGUCAAUAAGCGGUGACGCAGUUAGAAGCGUGAAAUACCCAAGAACUAUGACACCCACUACUUCCGGAAUCCCGACACCGACUUUGUACGAGUUUAGAGGCACUCGAUGCACAAAAAGGAGACCUACGGUGGCUCCUAAGACUCCCGAGUCAGAGUCUAUAACCAGAGGUCCGUUAGAGUCUUCCGACGGCCUUCGAACUUAGUUAAGAGAUGAAAACGGUCGCGUACUGUUUACGUCGUCAUUAACGAUACAGGCUCUUGACGGGACUGGAAAACCACAAGGCGGAGACAUAAUACCCGGCGGUGGCGGGACUAGCCUAAUGGCCCCGCGGGUACCUACUCCCAAAACCCCGCUAACACUACUUGACGUUCUCCGAGUGGUCUGAAAGUCAGAGACCGGACGAGUGACUAUUCCGCAAACGUAUGUAACCUCCUGUGCCUUUUGAGUAUUUCUGAGACAGACAACGGAAACGGCCCUUAUCACUGUACAGAGAAGUCGUGCACAAACUCCCCACGUGAUCCAACGUCUUCGAACUCCAGUCUCUAUCGGGAAAACCGCUGUUUCCUAACGAGAGACCGGACUUGAUAAAAAUGUUGUACUCCAAGAAAACCUACUUGAGUACGUCCGAUUGACACUUCCCAACACCCCUACAUCGAGUCGUUUACGGAUUAGACCACCAACUUCACUACUUCCUUUUACUUCCCCUUUACCUAUGGCAACUAUUCGACAUGGACAUAGCUAGUAACCGUCCUGGUUCCCUUCUACGAGGUAGUAAACAGUUGUAGAACAUCAUGACGGUAACUUCUUCAAACAACAUGCCAGUACAAACAAGAUGAUAAGGGCUGGUAACGACAACAUAAGGACAAGUUCAUACGGUCUCGGUCUCUCCUUCGAGGGGCACCUACUAAAACUUAACACCCCUUAUACUUACGUAGUAAAUUAAUUCGUCCGGUAGUUAAUAAGAAAAGACCCGACUAACGCAGCUCUGAACUUGGACAUGCUCCAAAGAAACUAUCUUACCGACUUCCAGCUGAGGUUAAACCGUCGUCUAAAAUGUACCAAGGAAAACGGGAGUUCAGAGGUCGGUAACUACAAAACGGUACAUGACAAGUUAGAUAGACGAGUCUGUUUCCUUGCCGUAACAGAUACAACCUUACGAGGUAGUUGAAAAAACGGAACACAAAUCUAAUAGGGUCGAUGCUAUUUAAAAGAGAAGGGUAAAAAAUAUCAAAGGUGUUGAAUAAAAACAUCUAGUUCCAUCUGGUUAUAGUUGAAAAGGACCAGUGUUGGAAGACGACAAUAAUUAGUUCUUCUAUAACCUACUACUUUAAGUCAGCCGUAGUUAAACAAUGGUGCAAGAUGAGAUGAAGGAAACAACGGACAAGUAAACGUGGGUACUAGUACGACGAGACUAAUACUGACGAGACAACGAUGGUGGUGUCGUUAUUUACGGGAGACGGACACAUAACCGUGUACUAUUCCUGUACUGGAUGAUUACUAAACUAGAGUUCUCACCAGGAACCAGGAACAAAGCACAUCUAGACGUACUGUAGAUGACAGUCUACCCCUAAACGGAAAAGUAGGAAGAGGACACUUGUAGGGACCUCCCCGGUUUUCGAGUUUCGAGGGUUUACCCGUCUCGGACGUGGAAGGUGUGCCGUUCUCUUUUUUCCAUCGGUAGGCUUUUAGUUC